UACGGGGGGGGUAAGCGUUGUUCGGAAUUACUGGGCGUAAAGGGCUCGUAGGCGGCCAACUAAGUCAGACGUGAAAUCCCUCAGCUUAACUGGGGAACUGCGUCUGAUACUGGAUGGCUUGGAUUCGGGAGAGGAAUGCGGAAUUCCAGGUGUAGCGGUGAAAUGCGCAGAUAUCAGGAGGAACACCGGUGGCGAAGGCGGGACUCUGGGCCGAUACUGACGCUGAGGAGCGAAAGCGUGGGGAGCAAACAGG
RNAcentral lists this ribosomal RNA (253 nucleotides) under uncultured bacterium. RNAcentral describes it as "partial 16S ribosomal RNA". It matches the Rfam family "Bacterial small subunit ribosomal RNA", at positions 524 to 776 of the family's 1533-position model. The record is from RNAcentral.